UUUAACCUAACAAUAACUGUUGCGGUCUAAUUUGUUAGUGAGUAAUUCUUUUGUGAAAUUUUGAUUUUUAACGUAUAUUAUUGCGAUUGACUAUAAUACAAAAAAAUAUGGGUGUAAGGGGAAAACGACUUCGUGCUUUGGCUCUUGGUGAAGUGAAAACAGUACCCCCUGAUGAUGGACAUGUCCACUGUGUCCAAAACAUGUAGAGAAUUUUAAACAACUAAAUGUUAAAUAAAUAAGUGGAGGGAGACUGCACGACAGGGACACUACGACUCCACUGCAACACUCUAAGGAUAGCCUAAUAUAGAUCGAGAUGUCAGUAUUAAAAUCUAUAACUUUAGUUAUAUCUGUUAUGCUUGCCUCAUACAUGCAUCAUUCGGGAGCCGAUCUACGGAAAGCAGCAUGUUUCCAUGACUCUCGCGCGCAUCUCAUGAUUCUUAUGCCAAUUGAGCCGUUCAGCGGAAAAGUGGUCUAACUCCCUUAAAGUAGAAAUUUAGAAAAUUGAUAUUUUGCAUCUGGAUGAAUUAAAAAAUCACAGUAACAUAUUCUUUACUUUUUUGUACAUAUUUAUAAUAACCCUUUACUAAAAUUUCAUAUGGUAAACAUUUUUACUGAUUGCGCCCAUUAAUUACAUUUUUGCCGCCCAAUGUCAUUCUUCCAGUAAGUUUUUUUCAAAAACAUAGCGGAAAAGUGGUAUAACUUGGAGAGUUAUAUCACUUUUCCUCGUAAAAGUUAACCAAAUUUCACAAAACUGAUGAACCAAAGAAAAAUAAUAGCUGUAGUAUGUUUACUAUGAUAUCUAUUACUGAUAAAAGUGUUCAAAAAAUAUAGAGCUUGAAGAGCAAAACAUUACUACUACUUAUCUUACAUACUAAACUUACAGUAAGGAGAGUAAGAACAAG
Molecule: long non-coding RNA, 902 nt
Organism: Anthonomus grandis grandis
Lineage: Eukaryota; Metazoa; Arthropoda; Insecta; Coleoptera; Curculionidae
Exons: 3
Source: RefSeq, a predicted model, not a curated record